GUUGGGGGCCAAACCUUAGUGCGCGGCAACUGUCGCCCCGCGUACCCAGAACGUCUGCGCGCAAGUUUUUGCACUGUCACUGUCGUUUAGUUAGCUAAUCGUUUUCUUCCACUUGCAGCUCGUUUCUACGAUUACCUUUUUUAUGCAUAGUUAACAAAGUCUUCUGAUUGGGGACUAUAGCCCCGUGGCCCUCGUGGUUCCUACUCCUAGCUGGUAGGCUAGUAUUAGACAUGCAUCACUGUACAGGUUAAUUUACCACAGCUACCAAUCGUCCCGGCAUUGCUAGAUUGUCGACGCUAGGUCAUCUUCGCCUGACGUGGUGGAGUGAUUAUGCAUAGGGUCACAUAACAGGAAAACGAAGUUGCCACGGUAACGAAGAUAGAUAAAAAUAAAACAGGCUUUCUAGCUACAGCAAACAACAGGAUGUUCGAUGUCCUAGUAACGGAAUUAUAGUCUCGUGUUGUAUGACGUUUGCCAUCACGAGGCAUUGCAUCACUCCGCACGUGAGCCAUUGGACGUUCCCGGGGACAAACUUACUACUCCUCCAUAAAAGAGCCGCGCAGAGUGCAAUACGAUUAAAUCGCAGUACAGCUCUACUAUAGACACAAGAGAAGGAUAUGGGAUUGCUGUCCAGUGCAACGUUUGCCGUCAUCGUUCUUGUUUUCCUUAUCCAAUGUUUUGCUCAAAACCAUGCCGUAUCCAGCAGCGGUAACUUUCAAAUUGAACAAUGCUUGAGAAACACCAAUUUGUCUUCAGUAGCGGACACAGAUGGGCGAAGGCAAAAGCAGAAAUAUUUAAGUCAAAACAAAAAGGAAAAUGACGUCAUCAACAAUAUGGGAAUUUUUGCCGAAUACUCUUACGUCCACUCCUGCAACAGAUUCGACUUGAUGUACUACAAGAACGUUAUGUUUUCGUCGAUGUUUUGUCAAUCGAUUUCAGACACAACAAUAUCAGUGGAAGGUCAACAUUCAAUUUGGUCUCCACGUCAGAGUUUUGAUACUUCCCAGUGCGAUUCAAAGUUUCCUCUCGGUACAUGUGGAUCAUUGAAAUGGACUAAUGAACAAGGAUUGCAAAAUUUGCAACUGUGCAUUACUGAUUGGGCUACAGAAGGAAAGAUUAACAUUCCUUACUGUGGACCUCCCAAUCAGGUUUGCGUAAUAGUUGGAGUAAAGAGAACAAAGGCAGGCAAGCCACUGCGAUGCACUGUAAAGUCUUAUUCUACAAUCAAACCUCCGAGGAGAAAAAACUUGCCGUGGAGAUCAUGGGUAAUGGAAGUAGGAGAAGGAUGUGAAUGCAAAGCGGCUUGUUAUAAUGCUGACAAACUUUAGUACACAGUGAUCAAUCCAGAAUUCAGGGGGGAAAGCAGUGCUCCUAUGUGCUUUCCCGGAGAAAUGGAAUUCACGGCAGCUGAGAGCGCAUGUAGAUUUGGUAAUGACAACGGUGAGUGGCAAAUUGAAGGCGACUGCACAGGACGUUGCUACAGCAAGAGAUUAAACAACAUGAAAGGUCUCCAAAUAGUUCAUCAAGAAGGACGACUGUUGAACGAACAUGAAGUGUGCUUUCUCAGCUACGUCGAACAGGAACAUCAAGAAUCAGCCGAAUGUCAGAUAGAGAACAUAAAUGGGUUGUGG
Molecule: long non-coding RNA, 1631 nt
Organism: Corticium candelabrum
Lineage: Eukaryota; Metazoa; Porifera; Homoscleromorpha; Homosclerophorida; Plakinidae
Exons: 4
Source: RefSeq, a predicted model, not a curated record